AAUCAACGCUGGCGGCGUGCCUCAGACAUGCAAGUCGAACGAUUAAAGCUCUCUUCGGAGAGUGUAUAGAGUGGCGCACGGGUGAGUAACACGUAAGUAAUCUACCCUCGAGUGGGGAAGUAACGUCCGGAACGGACGCUAAUACCGCAUAAUGCAGCGGCACCGCAAGGUGACAGUUGUUAAAGAUUUAUUGCUUGAGGAGGAGCUUGCGGCAGAUUAGCUAGUUGGUAAGGUAAUGGCUUACCAAGGCUACGAUCUGUAACGGUCUAAGAGGACGGUCGGUCACACUGACACUGAAUAACGGG
Molecule: ribosomal RNA, 305 nt
Filed under: uncultured bacterium
Lineage: Bacteria
Description: bacterial SSU rRNA
Rfam family: Bacterial small subunit ribosomal RNA
Source: RNAcentral